Molecule: long non-coding RNA, 1690 nt
Organism: Phymastichus coffea
Lineage: Eukaryota; Metazoa; Arthropoda; Insecta; Hymenoptera; Eulophidae
Exons: 6
Source: RefSeq, a predicted model, not a curated record
AUGACUAAUUUGAUUAUUUAAGCAACUAAAAAUAAAAAACUGUUUCGAAUAUUGGCUCACGUUCAAACGCCAAAGCGCGGUACGCAUGCUUCCUGAAUUAUCCCCGCCGGUACCCGAACCCCCGCUCUUAUUUGUUACUACACCUGUUUGAUUUUAAUACAUCAGAUCAAAUCAAACUUUAUAGUAACAUUAGUAAACAUUAGUAACUAGUACCUAUUGUCCGAUCAAUGGGUAAAUGGAAUUUAAAAAAGUUACGCUUCGCGUAUUAAUUACUCAAGUACGUAAGGAAUUGUUCAACAGUGGCACUGGUAACUAAAUAGCACACGAGCACACCGGUUUUUGUUUGAACACUUUUUUAACCUAAAAAAGUAGCUAUUGUGAUAAAUUCAUACUAAUAUUUAGCAAAGUGCACUUUUACAGUCUCUUAUGAGAUCUGUUGGAGUAUUAAUAUUACAAGAUUUAAAAAACAGUAGUACAUUUCAUUGGAAUUGUGAAUAAUUAUACGAUUACUUGCAAUAAAUAUGCAUAGAAGAAUCUUGCUUUUGCAAAGUACCCUGCCUAGCGAUUGGAUAGAGAAGAAAACUCUUGACAGGGCAGACAGAUUACCUUUGAUAGAAAAUUUUACAGACAGUGUUUCAAUUAGAGAAGGCAAGCUACUACGUGAUUGGGAUAGAGAAGACGAUGCAAGAUUAGCAAAGAGAAUGCUCAUUGAGGUAUAUUGCUGUAGACUACAAAAAGCUCAACCAUUAGGCCAUACAUUGUGGCCAGCAAUGGCGUGCACAAUGCCUGUUAGGAUGGAUACCAUAUCACAAUCCAAAUAACAAAAAUUCUCUUAGACAGCAACCCUAAUAGAAGUCUGUGGUAGCUAUGUGCUUGAGAGUUGUCUAAUGACAAUCGAGUUGAACGCAGUGGCCAAAUACGAGUAGUCCGCUGAGCAGCUGCAAACUACGAGGAUUUUUGCCUAGUAGAAAAGAAGCAGUGCAAUUUUGUCAACACGAUGACCAGCCUUGGCAAACCACGAAACCCCCGGUACGGAGACUGCAAGUCGUUAUCUACACUUUGAGCAGAUGAUGACUGCAUCGACGUUUAAUCCGGAAUGAGUUUUGGUUACUCGUCGUGAAGGAGCCAUUGCAGCAUGUGAACAGUUGACAAUUUGGAAAUUCGAAGAAGCAUUUCAAUGACAACAACUGCAUCAUGAUGCUAUGAUUCCUUGACGUACAAAGUCUUUUUUUUCUCAACAAUCAACUGCGACUUCUCAUCGUCGAAUGAAAACUAGCUCGGUUUGUGGCUGUCAUGAUACUUGCAUGAUUUGCAAUUGCAUACUGAACAUGAUUGAAUUACUAGAAUGACAUCGGAGUCUUAUGAAUUUACAUGAAGAUUCAAUUAUAGAAUAUGCCUCGUGAAUCAGUAAAAACUCACGUGGAAAUUUUCAACGUAUUGAAACAAUUCUCAAUAUUCGACAAGGAAGGUAAUUUAAGAAAAGAGAGGUACGUUGAUGAGCAUGGAAACCGACCUUGGAAUAAAGCCAGUGAACUAUUGUCGCCUAUGACUGUCCACAAUAUUUAUAUGACCGUGAUCAAGCACAAAAAAUCACUAAAACUUGAUCUCCAGCGUUAUCAGUGUCCGACACUUGUACGCGAACCUGUACAGGCAGAAGAGCGUCAAUCUGAUACUUCUGAAGGAAAUGAUU